RNAcentral lists this long non-coding RNA (521 nucleotides) under Physcomitrium patens. RNAcentral describes it as "long non-coding RNA (PPAT_LNC002173)". The record is from RNAcentral. Lineage: Eukaryota; Viridiplantae; Streptophyta; Bryopsida; Funariales; Funariaceae.
AAAGCUUGUAUCAUUGACUUAGAAUUUAUAUAAUAUAAUUAGGGCUAGUAUUCUCAACUAGUUUGUACAAUUGGUGUCACUUCUAUAAUUCAAAAUUUAGUAAUACUUAGGUAAUUAGGUGUAUUAAGUGUGUACAAAGUUUUAUAUUAAUCUAAUAAUGUAAUUGAAAGACAUUUGGAUUUUGAUAUAAGAAGGUAUCAAAAGUUGGCAGUUUGGAGUUGCAUUGGGUUUUUAUGCUAUCUAAAGAUCUACUAGUCAAAUCAAGGUGAAAUUUGGCACAAUAUAAAAAGACUUCAAGAUCAAGCUAUAAACCAAUUUUGAAUUGAAGUUAAUAAUUAAAAAAAGAUAAAUUACUAUUAGAACAUCUGCAUUAUCUUUCAAGUUGGCAGCUAAGUGAUAUCAGUGCAAUUUUUUGGAUCUUUUCUUCCAAUUUGUGAAUUGAAUUAGGUUGAACUUUUUCAAGCAUAUAAGAGACUUAUAAUGGCAUUUUUAUGUAAAAUUUUGCAUGAAGUAGAUAGUCA